GACGAACGCUGGCGGCGUGCUUAACACAUGCAAGUCGAGGGCAUUCAGGGGCAACUCUGGGUGACCGGCGAACGGGUGCGUAACACGUGAGCGACCUGCCCUUCCGCGGGGGAUAGCCGGCCCAACGGCCGGGUAAUACCGCAUACGCUCGUUCUGGGGCAUCCUGGAGCGAGGAAACUUCUGGGGCGGAAGGAGGGGCU
This 200-nucleotide ribosomal RNA is filed under the name uncultured bacterium. Its description in RNAcentral is "partial 16S ribosomal RNA". It matches the Rfam family "Bacterial small subunit ribosomal RNA", at positions 28 to 231 of the family's 1533-position model. The record is from RNAcentral.